This 6116-nucleotide long non-coding RNA is filed under the name Limulus polyphemus (Atlantic horseshoe crab). RNAcentral describes it as "uncharacterized LOC111085724". Lineage: Eukaryota; Metazoa; Arthropoda; Merostomata; Xiphosura; Limulidae. The record is from RNAcentral.
UAUCUAAAAAUUAUGUUUACAACUAAUUUUUGUGGUCCCUUGUGAGACAUACAGGAUUCUCUUGCAUAGUCUGUUUUCUCUAUCACUCUUGUCAGCUUUCUGCUCUCAUCGUCUAUCAAUUGCAUGUGGGUUGUCACUGCCACUUUUCAGCCAUGUCAUCCUACUACAUCACAUCUUACUUCCUUCUGUAUCUGGCUUUUCAUCUAGAGCCUGUCUGUUUCAUACAAUGCAGGUUAUUGUAAGGCAUUGUCUACAACCUUUUGUCUCUUGCCAGGCAAUAAUCCCUUCCUUUCACCCCACCUCGUCUGGUCCUUCUCCCCUAUUGUGACUUUUGUGUGGUUCUUCAGGCUCUUUCUUGCCCCCUUUGAGCCAUUGGUCUCCUUUUCCUGAUAUAAGUUUUUUCUCAAGACAUAUGUUUACCUUCUUUUGCUUGUGGUCAUUAUUGUUUAAACAUUUAGAUUUUAGAUGCCUCUCAUACUGUAUCAUAGGGACCAGUUGAUUUUGUUUCCAGUCCACUCCUUUCUUCCAAAGACUUGGACUGCCUGGAAAGGCCAUUGGAGGUCUUCUCUCAUCUCUAGGUUUCAUCACUGUACAAUUGUUUUGAUCUCAGUUGUCUUUUGUGUCCUGUGUAGGCAGUCUUGCUAAGAUUGUCCCUUUUCUUGGGAACUGCUGUCACCUAUUUUUACUGAAGCAGACCUUUUUCUCUCAGAACUUGUCCCUUUAAACUUUAACAGGUUAGGUUUGUCAACUCACCCAUCUCGCAUAUUUUUAGGGUGAACCUGACACACAUUUUUGCAUCUUCUCCCUCCAGUUCAGCAUGUCACAGCCACUCAUCCCUCUUUUAAUUGCCGGUACUUGGAGGAGAUCUUGCAGGCUAACAUGUGGACUACACUUAAGACAUUUGUCUUCCAUUGCUUAAAUCCUUGGGCAGUUUUCUGUGUCUGGUAUUUCUCUCCUUGUAGUAACCAUUCCCUAGUCUUCCCAGGGGAUCUGGUAUGGAGGAGGCAAGACUGACCAAGUCAAAUGUUACAUGCAGAAUUACACCUUAUGAUCUUUAUGACUGGUAACAUCGGAACCCACUGAGUGCUUGAUGUUGUCUCAUGGGGAAUACUUAUUUCAAAACCUACAUUGAAUGGGGACAAAUGGAAAGUGUUAAUCCCAUGAUGUUCUCCCCAACAUGUAUUCUCUUCCAUUCUUCUAGUGGAGCACAAGAGAACCCUUACUUCCUCAGUCCCAAGCUGUUGGGGAUGUCGGUAUGGAGAGUUUCCUCUGCAAAUGGUGCCUUCCUCCCUGGUAAGAGACUGAUUGGGCCCACCCCUCUUUUGAGAUGUAGAGCUAGGGUGUUGCCUGGAAGUGUAGUAUAGGAUAUCCCAUUACAAUCUCAAGCAGUUUCUGGUGUAUAUGUCCAGCUAGACAGAACUUGGAUUGGCUUCAGGAAGCAGAUGAGGGCUCCUCCACCCAUUGCUAUAGUCAACAUCUCAUAUCAGUAUUUUACCAAGAUGGAACAGCCUAACACCUUAGCCACACUAGAUAUUCUCACAUUCUGCUCACCUUUGCAACAUGUUAUCACUAGCACUAAGUUUAUCUAAAGUAUUUUACUGUAAAUCCAUAUGUGAUGUAAGUGUAACAUAUAAAUGAACAAAUAACAACAAGUUGGGCAAAGAGGAUGUGGUCUCCCACCAGGUGCUGCUCCACUAACCAUAUCCUGGUUUCAAGGAAUUCACAUCACAUUGGCUUUCUCAUUCUUUUGCUGUUUCAUCUUUGUAAUUGAUUAGCUCUGACUCCUCCACUAUUUGUCAGAGUGGGAUUCUAGCUCUUGGUAAUGCAGAGAGGUAAGUAGUUUUUCUGAAGUUAACAUUUUCUUUACCUGAAAUUUUAUUUCAGAUAGAUAUUCACCUCUCUGCACCACCUUCCCACUCUUUCUCCCCACUUCUGGUGAUUUUCUUUGGCUCAAGAAUGAGCCUAUGAUCAUGUGCCAGUGCUCACGGGAUUACCUCGCAUGGAGUUCGUGUCACCUUCUAUUGGUAGAGGGCUACAGGAUUAUAAUGAUUACAUUGUAAGCUGGUACAGUACAGGUAGAUGUGUAGGGAUGGGAGUUGGUUCAAGGCUUGUGCCAUGCGCAGGGAAUUUCAUGGCAGUUUUAUGCAUGGUAAUAGCUCUUACUGGUGCAGAGAGGUAGGUAUCUAUGUGAAAUACAUUUUUAGGUAAGGAAAAUGUUAACUUUUUUAAUGUGUCAUUUGAUAACAUUAGCAAGAUGUGACAUUUUAACAGUGUUAACAUGUUAUAUCACCAGAUAAUAUUGUCAAGUUGUAACUUCUUAAUAUUGUAGAUAUGCUUUAAUAUUUGAAAAUAUUGAGAGGUUGUAAUACUUUAUUGCGUUAAUUAAGCAUGAUGUUUAUUUUAACAUUUUUGACACUAAAGGUAGAAAUAGCACACAAAGAUUUAACUGUGUAACUUUGUUUUCUUGCAAAAAACAAAACUAAAUGUGUAUUUGUAGGAGGAAUCCAUGUUUAUUAGCUCAUAGAAUUUUCAUGGCAUUUUUUUUGGAAUUUGUCACUAGUAUGUUUCACAAAUAGUGACUAUGUAUUGUUAUGUAUUCUGUAAAUAUGUGGUGUUACUCCAAUAUAACUACAGUGUACACAAAUAUCAAUAUAUUUUGGUGAAAUUGUGGAUGGAACUUUCUUAGGUAUAGAACCAUGUCCAUUCUACAAGCUGGAUUACAUUUCUUACAGUAGCAUAAAAAACUAAUUUGUUUUUAAUGAAUUAACUCUUGUUACCUCCUAAAUAGUUUUAUUCUGUCAGUUAUUACAUCAAUUUGUGUUUUGGAUUAAUCAUAUUCCAUUCUUGUACAUAAGUUUCAUAUUGUUCAACUACAGUAUUAAAAAAGUAAACACAGUACACUCAUAAACUGUUACUUUUGUUUAGCUCUUUGUUAAAAACACAACAAUGUAUACAGAUAAAUUGUUAAUUGCAAUCCAUAUUGUUAAACAUUUUUAAAUCCAAUACUGUUUGACAGUAGUAGUAAAAACAAACUGCAGAUAGAUUUCAAUUAUAGCUACUUUGUUCAGUACAUUUGUUAAACUAAUGGCAUCAGCAAAAGUGAUAAAACAAAACAUUAUUUUUGCCACUCUCAGAAAACAAAUCUAACACUAUGUAGCUAUAUAUUCUUUACAAAUAAACAUUGUAAACAACUCCAUUACAAACUUUAUAUCUCAAACUUUCAUACUCAGCUAUAAUACAUUUCAUGUUGUUACAAUACAAGCAUAACAAAUCAGACAUUAUAUACAAAUAUGAUACAAUCUUAUCAAAUCAAGUAUUGUAUACAGGUAUGACAACUUUAUGCCAGAUUCAACUUCAUACCCAGCUGAUGUACAUUCCACCCAGCUACAUUACAAGCUUAACAAGUUAAAGAUUAUAAUCAGCUGUGAUACUGCCUUUAUAUUUUAGACUUAUUUGUCAAAUAUAGUACAUUCCACAUAACUACAAUACAGUUUUAAUGAAUAAAACAUUGCCCACAGCUAUGAUACAACCUGUUACAACAUCAAACUAGUGUAUUUAUGUGUUUUACACUCACCAAAAGAAACCUGUCAUUCCAUAGGUUUCUUUUUGGUGAGUAUAAAACACGUAAAUACACCAGUUUGAUUUUCGAUACCUCACUAGUAUGAAGACUUGGUUUGGUCUGAUAUUUCAUUGGUGGUAGUGUCUAGGGUCACUGAUGAGGAGUGGAAUUCUUCGAAACUAGUCUGGCUCAUAGACACACACACCCCAAUGAAAGAAUAGACCAUUCCAAGCAACAACUCUACUUAUUCAAUUCUGUUACAACAUGUUAGACUUCAUACCCAGAUACAGAACAUUUCCUAUAUCGACAAUGCAAUAUUAACAAAUACACACAGAUCUUAUACAAGUUUAAUAUAUCAGGCUUCAUACUUAACUCUAGUACAUUACACACAGCUAGAAUAUGACUGUAACAAAUCAAACUUUAUACCUGCAUAUGGAACUAUUUUUAUUAUUAUACUUCAUACUCGGCUUUAGUACAUUCCACGUACCAUGAAUACGAUCUUAAUAAAUUCUACAGUAUAUACAGGUAUGAGAAAACUUUAUAUGUCUGUCUUCAUACUCAGCUAUAGUACAUUCCACAUACCAUGAAUAUGAUCUUAAUAAAUUACACAGUAUAUACAGGUAUGAGAAAACUUAAUAUGUCUGUCUUGAUACUCAGUUAUAGUACAUUCCACAUACCAUGAAUAUGAUCUUAAUAAAUUCCACAGUAUAUACAGGUAUGACAAAACUUUAUAUGUCUGUCUUGAUACUCAGUUAUAGUACAUUCCACGUAUCAUGAAUAUGAUCUUAAUAAAUUCUACAGUAUAUACAGGUAUGAGAAAACUUUAUGUCUGUCUUCAUACUCAGCUAUAGUACAUUCCACGUACCAUGAAUACAAUCUUAAUAAAUUACACAGUAUAUACAGGUAUGACAAAACUUUAUAUGUCUGUCUUCAUACUCAGCUAUAGUAUAUUCCACGUAACAUGAAUACAAUCUUAAUAAAUUACACAGUAUAUACAGGUAUGAGAAAACUUUAUAUAUCUGUCUUGAUACUCAGCUAUAGUAUAUUCCAUGUAUCAUGAAUACAAUCUUAAUAAAUUCCACAGUACAUACAGGUAUGACAAAACUUUAUGUGUCUGUCUUCAUACUCAGCUAUAGUAUGUUCCACAUACCAUGAAUAUGAUCUUAAUAAAUUACACAGUAUAUACAGGUAUGACAAAACUUUAUAUGUCUGUCUUCAUACUCAGCUAUAGUAUAUUCCACAUACAGUGAAUACAAUCUUAAUAAAUUGCACAGUAUAUACAGGUAUGAGAAAACUUUAUAUGUCUGUCUUCAUACUCAGCUAUAGUAUAUUCCAUAAUUCUACAUUACAAUUUAUCAAAUAAAUCAUUCCACAUCACUUCAAAAUAAUCUUCAAAAAUCACAAUGUGAAUACAGCUAUGAUACAAACCUUAUAUAUCAGACUUCAUACCUAACUACUGUAUGUUCCACAUAGCUUUAUUACAAUAUUAACAAAUCAAACAUUACAACUCGCUGUGAUAGAACCUUUAUACAUCAGAUUUUAUGCCCAGUUGAAGAACAUGGCAUAUAAUUGAAAUACAAUCUUAAGAAAUCCUACAUUUCACACAGUUGUGAUACAACUUUUAUAUGUCAGAUUUAAUAGCCAGCUAUUCACAUUCCACAUAGCUAAAACACAUACUUAACAAGUCAAACAUUAUACACAGGUAUAAGCCAACAUUAUAUGUUAGACUUCAUACCCAGCUACAGUACAUUCUGUAUAGCUAAUAAUGCACGUUUAACAGAUUAAACAUACACAACUAUAGUACAACCUUUAUACAGCAGAUUUCAUAUGAGACUACAGUACAUUUCACACAGCUGCAAUACAACGUUUGUACUUCAGACUUUAUACCCAGCUACAGUAUAUUUCAAAUAGUUCUAAUACAAUCUCAACAAAUAUAAUACACGGCUAGAGUACUAUCUUUUCCAAAAUAUUUUAUAAAAGCUCUAGGACAUUUCACAUAACUACAAUACAAGCUUAAUAAAUCAAACAUUAUACGCAGGUAUGGUAAAUCCUUUAUAUAACAGACUUCAUAAGCAGCUACAGUACAUUCAUUUCACAUAGCUACAAUACAAUUUUAACAAAUCCUAUGUUGCACAUAGCAAUGAUACAACCUUUAUACCCUGCAACAGUACAUUCCACAUAGCUACAUUACAAUUUUAACAAAUCCUGUAUUGCACAUAGCUAUGAUACAACCUUUAUAACUUGCAACAGUACACGCAACAAAGCUACAUUACAAUUUAGCAAAUCAAUAAUUCCAUACUGCUACAAUACAUUCUUCAAACAUCACAAUGUACUCAUACCUAUGAUACAAACCUUAUGUUUUGGACUACAUACCCGGCUACAGCACAUUCUACAUAGCUACAGCUUUAACAAAUCCUACAUUAUACAUAUAACCCAACAUUUAUAUGUCAGACUUGUGCAUACCCAGCUGCAGUACAUUCCACAUAGCUACAUUACAAGUUUAUCAAAUUAAACAUUCUAGAUAAUAGAAAAGUAAAGAAAAUUAUCAAAAAAGGAA